UACGGAGGGUGCGAGCGUUGUCCGGAAUCACUGGGCGUAAAGGGCGCGUAGGCGGCGCGGUAAGCACGCGGUGAAAGCCCGGGGCUCAACCCCGGGUCGGCCGUGCGGACUGCCGCGCUGGAGCACUGUAGAGGCGGGUGGAAUUCCGGGUGUAGCGGUGGAAUGCGUAGAGAUCCGGAAGAACACCGGUGGCGAAGGCGGCCCGCUGGGCAGUGGCUGACGCUGAGGCGCGACAGCGUGGGGAGCAAACAG
Molecule: ribosomal RNA, 252 nt
Filed under: uncultured bacterium
Lineage: Bacteria
Description: partial 16S ribosomal RNA
Rfam family: Bacterial small subunit ribosomal RNA
Source: RNAcentral